Long non-coding RNA from Ctenopharyngodon idella (grass carp), 414 nucleotides. RefSeq lists it as uncharacterized. Lineage: Eukaryota; Metazoa; Chordata; Actinopteri; Cypriniformes; Xenocyprididae. The transcript is spliced from 3 exons. The record is from RefSeq and is a predicted model, not a curated record.
UUCCUCCGCUGCGGUCCAGCUCGUAGCCGUAGUCACAGACGCAGCGGAACAUCCCCGGCAGGUUCUGACACGACCCGAACACGCAGAUGUUCUGGAAGUUGCACUCGUCGAUGUCUGACGGAUAACACACAGCGCUACGGUGUUGGUGGAGUCCAGCUUGCUGCCGUGGGAACAUUCGCAGUUGAAGGAACCGGCUAUGUUGCGGCACACGCCGUUGAUGCAGGGGUUGGAGUCGCACUCGUUGAUGUCUGAACGAAAGAACGACAGGUAUGAGGUGAUGUCUGGACAUUCUGAAAAGGAAGUUCACUUACGCUGUCCACAGUGAGUCCCUGUGUAGCCCUUCUGACACGAGCAGGCGUCUUCAUUACAGACCCCUCCAUUCAUGCAUCUGACGCUGCAGGACUGGACUGUACA